This 105-nucleotide ribosomal RNA is filed under the name Escherichia coli. The record is from RNAcentral. RNAcentral also lists the same sequence under 2 other names. Lineage: Bacteria; Pseudomonadati; Pseudomonadota; Gammaproteobacteria; Enterobacterales; Enterobacteriaceae.
UAGCGCGGUGGUCCCACCUGACCCCAUGCCGAACUCAGAAGUGAAACGCCGUAGCGCCGAUGGUAGUGUGGGGUCUCCCCAUGCGAGAGUAGGGAACUGCCAGGU